CCUACGGGAGGCAGCAGUGGGGAAUUUUGGACAAUGGGGGCAACCCUGAUCCAGCCAUGCCGCGUGAGUGAAGAAGGCCUUCGGGUUGUAAAGCUCUUUCGGCCGGAACGAAAUCGCGCACGUGAAUAACGUGCGUGGAUGACGGUACCGGAGUAAGAAGCACCGGCUAACUACGUGCCAGCAGCCGCGGUAAUACGUAGGGUGCGAGCGUUAAUCGGAAUUACUGGGCGUAAAGCGUGCGCAGGCGGUUCGCUAAGUCAGACGUGAAAGCCCCGGGCUUAACCUGGGAACGGCGUUUGAAACUGGCGGGCUCGAGUACGGCAGAGGGGGGUGGAAUUCCACGUGUAGCAGUGAAAUGCGUAGAUAUGUGGAGGAACACCGAUGGCGAAGGCAGCCCCCUGGGCCGAUACUGACGCUCAUGCACGAAAGCGUGGGGAGCAAACAGGAUUAGAUACCCUGGUAGUCCACGCCCUAAACUAUGUCAACUAGUUGUCGGGGAAGCAAUUCCUUGGUAACGCAGCUAACGCGUGAAGUUGACCGCCUGGGGANCGGUCGCAAGAUUAAAACUUAAGGAAUUGACGG
Molecule: ribosomal RNA, 582 nt
Filed under: uncultured bacterium
Lineage: Bacteria
Description: bacterial SSU rRNA
Rfam family: Bacterial small subunit ribosomal RNA
Source: RNAcentral